GCCAGAAACCUGUGCCAUCUGCCUGAAAGAAGGGAUGAACAAGGCCGGGCGCGGUGGCUCACGCCAUAAUCCCAGCACUUUGGGAGGCUGAGGUGGGCAGAUCACCUGAGGUCAGGAGUUUGAGACCAGCCUGGCCAACAUGGCAAAACCCUGUCUCUACUAAAAAUACAAUAAAUUACCCGGGUGUGGUGGCAGGUGCCUGUAAUCCCAGCUACUCGGGAGGCUGAGGCAGGAGAAUCGUUUGAACCUGGGAGGUGGAGGUUGCAGUGAGCCGAU
This 276-nucleotide long non-coding RNA is filed under the name Homo sapiens (human). RNAcentral's name for it is "HSALNT0355218". The record is from RNAcentral. Lineage: Eukaryota; Metazoa; Chordata; Mammalia; Primates; Hominidae.